CCCUUAGAUGUUCUGGGCUGCACGCGCGCUACACUGAUGCAUCCAACAAGUCUUUUCCUUGUUCGAGAGGACUAGGUAAUCUUAUGAGAAUGCAUCGUGAUGGGGAUAGAUUAUUGCAAUUAUUAAUCUUCAACGAGGAAUUCCUAGUAAGCGCGAGUCAUCAGCUCGUGCUGAUUACGUCCCUGCCCUUUGUACACACCGCCCGUCGCUCCUACCGAUUUCGAGUGGUCCGGUGAAUCUUUUGGAAUUAGAGUGCAAACUCAAACCAAGAUCGAUAAACCUUAUCACUUAGAGGAAGGAGAAGUCGUAACA
Molecule: ribosomal RNA, 312 nt
Filed under: uncultured eukaryote
Lineage: Eukaryota
Description: partial 18S ribosomal RNA
Rfam family: Eukaryotic small subunit ribosomal RNA
Source: RNAcentral